This 1021-nucleotide long non-coding RNA is filed under the name Mus spicilegus (steppe mouse). RNAcentral's name for it is "lncRNA (ENSMSIG00000021245.1)". The record is from RNAcentral. Lineage: Eukaryota; Metazoa; Chordata; Mammalia; Rodentia; Muridae.
CGAAGCAUGAAGAGUUCCAUGCCCUGGCCUGCACCUGAGAGAAUGUACAGCCACCUGGCCUUCCACAGCACUGGCCCUGUCUGCAAGGUCUUUCCCCUGCCUCUUAGAGAAUCUGCUCCCAGCUCUCAGACAAGGUGGUGACCUGUGGAAGUUGAGGGGGCUGCUACAGAAUGGAACCUGAGAUAAGUCUCUCAUGGCCUUACGGAAUUACAUUCUGCUUUCAAGGGAAGCCCUUGCGCAAGACUCACUCCACCUCAUCUGUGUCCAGUGCUCUACUAAUUUCCAUGGUGCAGAUCUCAGCCCUGGAGGUUCAUCUUCCUAAGGAAUGCUGGGACUUCCUGGUCCUCUCUCCUGGUGCAUGGUCCAUUCUUCUUGUUCUUUACAGGCAUGCUUUUCAAGACACCCAACUUUGCAUGGCACUGCUUGUCAGAAGCCAGAGCCUAGGGCCAACCCCGGGUCCCAGAUAGCAUGUACCCGGCAAAACAGUCACUAUCAGGAGGGACCUUGGGCGAAGGGGGCCUGCUGGCUGAUGCAGCAUCCUGACCUGUGAGUAGUUCCAGGGGUCUAGAGCUGGGACAAGAGUCUUCUCUGAAUACUACUCUCAUGAAGAAGAGAGAAGACUGAUUAAAUUAAAAUAUGAAAGAGAGGGUCUCCCUGCAGCAUCCAGGGAAACCCUAAUUCUUGGCAGCUGGGGGGUAGUUGGGUAGGAGGAGUGUGAAAGGCUGAUUUGGAGGACAAGGCUAUAUAGGUAUUGUGGAAUCCUCAGCUCCUGCCUGCUGUGGUCUGCAAUUGGGAGGUGUGGGAGCUGCUGGCUCCUGUGAGUAUAACAGCCCCAUAGAAGUGACUAUUCUCAUCCCACUUGAUAACCUCGUAAUGGUCUCAAGAAGGAUAAGAGUCUAACCAGAUAAUGUUCAUCUUACAGAACCUGCUUCUGUGGCCUCUCAGUAUGAGAUUACUGAUAGGCAGGGAGGAACAGACCCCCAUGCAGCCAGCUGGGGAGGUGCAGAACCCUUUGAGGGAG